Molecule: ribosomal RNA, 876 nt
Filed under: uncultured crenarchaeote
Lineage: Archaea; Thermoproteati; Thermoproteota
Also listed under: 1 other name
Description: bacterial SSU rRNA
Rfam family: Archaeal small subunit ribosomal RNA
Source: RNAcentral
ACCUGACUGCUAUCGGAUUGAUACUAAGCCAUGCGAGUCAUUGUAGCAAUACAAGGCAUACGGCUCAGUAACGCGUAGUCAACCUAACCUAUGGACGGGAAUAACCUCGGGAAACUGAGAAUAAUGCCCGAUAGAACAUUAUGCCUGGAAUGGUUUAUGUUCCAAAUGAUUUAUCGCCAUAGGAUGGGACUGCGGCCUAUCAGUUUGUUGGUGAGGUAAUGGCCCACCAAGACUAUUACAGGUACGGGCUCUGAGAGGAGUAGCCCGGAGAUGGGUACUGAGACACGGACCCAGGCCCUAUGGGGCGCAGCAGGCGAGAAAACUUUGCAAUGUGCGAAAGCACGACAAGGUUAAUCCGAGUGAUUUCUGCUAAAGAGAUCUUUUGUUAGUCCUAGAAACACUAACGAAUAAGGGGUGGGCAAGUUCUGGUGUCAGCCGCCGCGGUAAAACCAGCACCUCAAGUGGUCAGGAUGAUUAUUGGGCCUAAAGCAUCCGUAGCCGGCUCUGUAAGUUUUCGGUUAAAUCUGUACGCUCAACGUACAGGCUGCCGGGAAUACUGCAGAACUAGGGAGUGGGAGAGGUAGACGGUACUCGGUAGGAAGUGGUAAAAUGCUUUGAUCUAUCGAUGACCACCUGUGGCGAAGGCGGUCUACCAGAACACGUCCGACGGUGAGGGAUGAAAGCUGGGGGAGCAAACCGGAUUAGAUACCCGGGUAGUCCCAGCUGUAAACUAUGCAAACUCAGUGAUGCAUUGGCUUGUGGCCAAUGCAGUGCUGCAGGGAAGCCGUUAAGUUUGCCGCCUGGGAAGUACGUACGCAAGUAUGAAACUUAAAGGAAUUGGCGGGGGAGCACCACAAGGGGUGAAGCCUGCGGUUC